UCUCUGGAGGACUAGUGGUUAGGCCACAGCGCUCUCACCAGUGUGCCCCAGGUUUGAUUCCCAGCCAGGGAA
Molecule: transfer RNA, 72 nt
Filed under: Pangasianodon hypophthalmus (striped catfish)
Lineage: Eukaryota; Metazoa; Chordata; Actinopteri; Siluriformes; Pangasiidae
Description: tRNA-Glu
Source: RNAcentral